Molecule: microRNA precursor, 82 nt
Organism: Xenopus tropicalis (tropical clawed frog)
Lineage: Eukaryota; Metazoa; Chordata; Amphibia; Anura; Pipidae
Gene: xtr-mir-16a
Product: xtr-mir-16a
Source: Ensembl
GCCAGCAGUCCUUUAGCAGCACGUAAAUAUUGGUGUUAAAAUGGUCCCAAUAUUAACUGUGCUGCUAGAGUAAGGUUGGCCU